GAUGAACGCUGGCGGCGUGCCUAAUACAUGCAAGUCGAGCGAACAGACGAGGAGCUUGCUCCUUCGACGUUAGCGGCGGACGGGUGAGUAACACGUAGGUAACCUACCUAUAAGACUGGGAUAACUUCGGGAAACCGGAGCUAAUACCGGAUAAUAUUUCGAACCGCAUGGUUCGAUAGUGAAAGAUGGCUUUGCUAUCACUUAUAGAUGGACCUGCGCCGUAUUAGCUAGUUGGUAAGGUAACGGCUUACCAAGGCAACGAUACGUAGCCGACCUGAGAGGGUGAUCGGCCACACUGGAACUGAGACACGGUCCAGACUCCUACGGGAGGCAGCAGUAGGGAAUCUUCCGCAAUGGGCGAAAGACUGACGGAGCAACGCCGCGUGAGUGAUGAAGGCCUUCGGAUCGUAAAACUCUGUUAUUAGGGAAGAACAAACGUGUAAGUAACUGUGCACGUCUUGACGGUACCUAAUCAGAAAGCCACGGCUAACUACGUG
RNAcentral lists this ribosomal RNA (497 nucleotides) under uncultured bacterium. RNAcentral describes it as "partial 16S ribosomal RNA". It matches the Rfam family "Bacterial small subunit ribosomal RNA", at positions 28 to 507 of the family's 1533-position model. The record is from RNAcentral.